RNAcentral lists this ribosomal RNA (491 nucleotides) under uncultured bacterium. RNAcentral describes it as "partial 16S ribosomal RNA". It matches the Rfam family "Bacterial small subunit ribosomal RNA", at positions 29 to 507 of the family's 1533-position model. The record is from RNAcentral.
GUGAACGCUGGCGGUAGGCCUAACACAUGCCAGUCGAACGGCAGCACAGUAAGAGCUUGCUCUUACGGGUGGCGAGUGGUGGACGGGUGAGGAAUACAUCGGAAUCUACUUUUUCGUGGGGGAUAACGUAGGGAAACUUACGCUAAUACCGCAUACGACCUACGGGUGAAAGCAGGGGAUCUUCGGACCUUGCGCGAUUGAAUGAGCCGAUGUCGGAUUAGCUAGUUGGCGGGGUAAAGGCCCACCAAGGCGACGAUCCGUAGCUGGUCUGAGAGGAUGAUCAGCCACACUGGAACUGAGACACGGUCCAGACUCCUACGGGAGGCAGCAGUGGGGAAUAUUGGACAAUGGGCGCAAGCCUGAUCCAGCCAUACCGCGUGGGUGAAGAAGGCCUUCGGGUUGUAAAGCCCUUUUGUUGGGAAAGAAAAGCAGCAGGUUAAUACCCCGCUGUUCUGACGGUACCCAAAGAAUAAGCACCGGCUAACUUCGUG